Molecule: long non-coding RNA, 1307 nt
Organism: Bactrocera dorsalis (oriental fruit fly)
Lineage: Eukaryota; Metazoa; Arthropoda; Insecta; Diptera; Tephritidae
Exons: 5
Source: RefSeq, a predicted model, not a curated record
UUAUAAUUAAUUUCUAUUAUAAGUAUGUAUAUAUAUAUUAUUAAUUUCUUUUAUAUAGAGAAAACGAACAAGCUUAACAAGGAGAAAAAAAAAUCAUUUGUGGCAUUUGGAGAAUUCAAAUAUUGCGUAUAACAAACAAAUAAGGGAAAUGAAUUUCGAUGACCUCGUGGAAAAAAUGGAUUCCGAAGAGGAAUGCUCACAACCGUUGGGCCCCCAUAGACGUUGUAUUCAAAAUAAAUAUUAUUAUUUUUUUAAUAAUAUUUUUUUACAGAUAAAGUGUUUAAAAAAAUAUCUUACAAUCUCGUUUGCGUCUGGCGGCCAUGCACGUAUAAUAUAUAAUCCAGAAGCUGGAUGCCAUUGAGACCCGUCUCACUACCAUUGAAAAGUCCCUAACAGACAAAAUGCCAGAAAAGGCCGAGGUGCAGGCACAAAGUAAAUUAUUGCGCGAAUGCCGCGUCAUAGCAGCAAAGACGCACCCUUCAAUUAGUCGCAUCACCGGUAACACAGAUGGUGGAAGAUAGUCUGGUAGAUAAGAAGAUACAUUUAUUUAAGAAAACCAGAAGAUAUGUAAAAUUAAGAUAUGAGAAGAAACACUGAUCUUAAAUAAAUAUUAAAUGCAAAUGCAGCCACAUGAUAGCAAUAAAGGAUAAGCAGCACUGUGGAAUUUUCCCACAAAAAUGAAUUUUUGUAAAUUAGAAGAUAAGUAUUUUUGUAAAACUAUAAAAGCAAGAAAAUCUUUGAAAUAAAGAGACACAUUUAUACUGCCACUCUAAAGAGCCGGUCGUCUAAAAUUGUUUCGUAAUUGGCGCAGUCGGUAAACGUCUAACAUAAUCUUAAGAUUGGUCAAACGGGUCGCUCGGAUUUUCCGAAGAAAAUCCACACAUAAAAAAAGAGAAAAAAAAACAAAAUCGAUUUUAAAAAUAAAAAAUAAGGCGUUGCCGAGGCCUUAAAACAGUUUUUAUAAAAAAAAGAAGAAAAUUCGAACAUCACCAUGGCAACUAUUAACAGCUCCGAGCUCCUGAAGGAAGCUUCGAGAAUAAGGCCAUUCAACGGAAGUGAUGGUUACGACCUAUCCUCAUUUAUAAGAGAAGUGGAUGCCAUACUCCGUCUCUUUAACGAUAACCCAUCGUUAAAGGAAUUUGUUAUUCAACGCUACAUACUAACGAAAAUAAAUGGAGACGCUCUGAACGUAGUCCGACCUUUAGGAAGCACACCGAUGUGGGACGACAUAAAGGGGGAACUCAUCCGGAACUUCGGGGUAAAGGAGAGCUACAGGAGUCUGUACCACCAGGAAAUCAACAUUAAGC